RNAcentral lists this ribosomal RNA (917 nucleotides) under uncultured archaeon. RNAcentral describes it as "bacterial SSU rRNA". It matches the Rfam family "Archaeal small subunit ribosomal RNA", at positions 1 to 922 of the family's 1478-position model. The record is from RNAcentral.
UNUUCCGGUUGAUCCUGCCGGAGGUUACUGCUAUCGAGGUUCGACUAAGCCAUGCGAGUCGAAUGUAGCAAUACAUGGCGAACUGCUCAGUAACACGUGGACAACCUGCCCUUAGGACGGGGAUAAACCCGGGAAACUGGGUAUAAUACCCGAUAGGUCUCGAUUGCUGGAAUGCAUCGAGAUUUAAAGCUCCGGCGCCUAAGGAUGGGUCUGCGGCCUAUCAGGUAGUAGUGGGUGUAGCGUACCUACUAGCCUACGACGGGUACGGGUUGUGAGAGCAAGAGCCCGGAGAUGGAUUCUGAGACACGAAUCCAGGCCCUACGGGGUGCAGCAGGCGCGAAAACUUUACAAUGCUGGCAACAGCGAUAAGGGAACCUCGAGUGCCAGGUUACAAAUCUGGCUGUCGAGAUGCCUAAAAAGCAUUUCAUAGCAAGGGCCGGGCAAGACCGGUGCCAGCCGCCGCGGUAACACCGGCGGCUCGAGUGGUAACCGUUAUUAUUGGGUCUAAAGGGUCUGUAGCCGGCCGGAUAAGUCUCUUGAGAAAUCUGGCAGCUUAACUGUCAGGCUUUCAGGAGAUACUGUCUGGCUCGAGGCCGGGAGAGGUGAGAGGUACUUCAGGGGUAGGGGUGAAAUCUUGUAAUCCUUGAAGGACCACCAGUGGCGAAGGCGUCUCACCAGAACGGACCUGACGGCAAGGGACGAAAGCUAGGGGCACGAACCGGAUUAGAUACCCGGGUAGUCCUAGCCGUAAACGAUACUCGCUAGGUGUCGGCCACGGUGCGACCGUUGUCGGUGCCGUAGGGAAGCCGUGAAGCGAGCCACCUGGGAAGUACGGCCGCAAGGCUGAAACUUAAAGGAAUUGGCGGGGGAGCACCACAACGGGUGGAGCUUGCGGUUUAAUUGGAUUCAACGCCGGG